GAGUCUGCUCACAAAACUUCUUUCAGAAAAGAAUUUCUCUAAGCGGCAAUGUAGAUGAAUAAUUUCUCUGAAAAAUGGUAAAGGAACAGCGCUCUGAGUUUAGUUUGGUAGUAAAUGCAUCUAUCUACUUCAAUGAGGUCCAAAUUCGAAUUUCCUCUCCCUUUUCUUUGUAAACGAAAAGACGAAAGAAAAUUUUUCAAAGAAGUAGUGAAAUAGGGAUAUCGUUAUUUUACAAUGCUGUUUAAUAUAACACAAAGGUAUAUGUAAAGAGCUACUAUCUGACAGAUCAGUCUCUAGUUCUUCAAUUUUCUAUUAGAAAGGAAAAAAAAUUAUGAUAUUUAUAUAACAGGCUUGAUUUUAUUUGUCUAUUAAAAUAUAAGAUCGAUUAAGG
This 391-nucleotide unclassified non-coding RNA is filed under the name Hevea brasiliensis (rubber tree). The record is from RNAcentral. Lineage: Eukaryota; Viridiplantae; Streptophyta; Magnoliopsida; Malpighiales; Euphorbiaceae.